AUACGGAGGAUCCGAGCGUUAUCCGGAUUUAUUGGGUUUAAAGGGAGCGUAGGCGGACGCUUAAGUCAGUUGUGAAAGUUUGCGGCUCAACCGUAAAAUUGCAGUUGAUACUGGGUGUCUUGAGUACAGUAGAGGCAGGCGGAAUUCGUGGGGUAGCGGUGAAAUGCUUAGAUAUCACGAAGAACUCCGAUUGCGAAGGCAGCCUGCUGGACUGUAACUGACGCUGAUGCUCGAAAGUGCGGGUAUCAAACAGGAUUAGAUACCCUGGUAGUCCGCACAGUAAACGAUGAAUACUCGCUGUUUGCGAUACACGGUAAGCGGCCAAGCGAAAGCGUUAAGUAUUCCACCUGGGGAGUACGCCGGCAACGGUGAAACUUAAAGGAAUUGACGGGG
Molecule: ribosomal RNA, 393 nt
Filed under: uncultured bacterium
Lineage: Bacteria
Description: partial 16S ribosomal RNA
Rfam family: Bacterial small subunit ribosomal RNA
Source: RNAcentral